UAAAGCAUGCCAGGAAAGACAAUAGCCCUGUAUUUUGUACAAUCUUUCAACAGUAUCUUUGAAACAAGCAAUUUCUUCUUCUGGCAAAGUCCAAAAUGUGAUGCGAACCUUUAAACUCAGUAAUAAACCUCAACAGUGCUGCCUGAGAUCUGCUGUUAUUAAGAAUUGAUGUAGCCAUCUGGCUACAUCUAUCUAUUGUUAAACAUGAUGUUUAUAUGAUGUCAUAAUGUACCUGUGCCUCUAUAAAGAAAGAAAUGUAGUUUUCUGCACCAGUGAUCUUAUAUUUUGAAAGAUAGCACAGUCAUUUUCCACCCUUUUAUGAUUAACAUAUCCUUCUUUAGCCACCCUCCAGCAAAACUGCGAGCUCUUCAAAUGUUACGUCUGUUAAUUACUAUCUAAUAUUUAUGUACUCAUUUUCUUUUAUUCUCUUUCCUGGACCUGGAAUCUCCCAGGGGCCCUCAGGUCACAGGCUUACAUCCGAGGGGUAGAAUAUACCUUUUGUUCACCAGUGGUGGUGUGAAGCUCUUAAUAUUCAUUUUUAAGGGAGCAUCAAGCUAUACUACACUGCACUGCUAGGAGCUGGUGGAAGUGUAGGGCAGUGCUGGCUCCAUGUUCCUGUCCUUUUCUUACACGACAGCAGUGUCAUAGUGACAAAGGACCAGGCAGGAUGUAGCUGACCUGGCCAGCACCAUUUGUAAACAAAAGUUUGGUACGCAUUUUUCAAGCAGGCCUGACAUGGGUUGUGCUUCCUGUUAUUUCCACCAGGUCUGAGGGUGUGUAGAUGGAACCUGGGAAUCACAAAACCAUGGAAUAGUUGAGAUUGGAAGGGACCUCUGGAGGUCAUCUGGUUCAACCCUUCCGGUGGAGGAAAAUCUCUACCUGUGGAUGUAAGCCUUAAGCAAUUGCUUUUGCUAAGGUAUGCACAAAAUACCCAAGUUCUGUGGGUCCUUUGUUCAGGGACACAGGUCACUGAUUAACCUGAAGCAGCGCCCAGGCAGGUCUUGAUGUGUGGCAGAUCUUGACUGGCCUCUGGGCUCUUCAGGACAGUCUGAGAGUGAGCAUGGGCUGGGCAGCCAGCAGCGUAAGUACAAUUUUAAUUUGACUCUCAACACACAGAGACAGAUUUGGCUGCUUCCUCUGCUCCUCACUGCUCAUGAAGUCACUCUUCCUUUGCAAAGACCUGUUCUUGCCUCAGUAAAUACAGCUUUCCACUGCUGAUGUUUAUUUUCCUUGGGGGGUCUCCUCAUGCACUGUCACCUUUCCCUUUUUAAUUUCAGCCUCUUAUGGACUACAUACUGGUUUGCAAAACCUGCCAAUCUGAAUGAGUAGCCCAGGGAAUACAAGUUCCUAUGGGAUAAAUGCUCCAACUUAUGACUCAUGGACUAGAAUUGUAAAAGCUGAUGCAUAAAAGGCCCUGGGCACUAGCAUACCACUAGUGUUUUAAAUUUAUCUUCUGCAAAUGAGAAAGAUGUUUUUCUUCAAGACAUACAAAAAUAUACCAGCUCAGUACAAUCUAAACGAAGUUAUGUGGGAACACUGCUCUGCACUGUAUUGCCAAUCUCUUGUGUUUAUGUAUAAUUUUCCAUGGGGCAUUCCUGUCUGUAAAACUACUCAGAAAGCUUUCCUGUGGACUCCUUUUGACUGGCAGGAAUACUAGCAGCCCUAAGUGUCAUGUUGUUCAUUUGUGCAGGGUGUUUUUACAGCUAUUCAAUAGCAUCUGCGAGCCAUUUGCUGGCUGAACCCUGGCUCUUCAGGUAGAAGUUGACACGUGAGCCUCAGCCUGCCCGGUGGGGGUCAGGAGGCAGUAGUGAGCCCUUGGGCUGGUCUCCCUUCAGCUGCAAAACUGAGUUAAAAAUGGUGACUUUUCAUAGUAAUGAAAGAGACUAUAGUCUUUUUACUCCCCUUCUUUUCUCUGCCCCUCCACGCUUUUUGUGCUGGAGGGAAAGGGAAGGGGAAGAAGCUCUUUGCAUCCAUUUGUAAGGCAGAUGAUGUGCCUAUUUCUUGACAUUUCUCAUAUGCCUUAAAGUGAAGCAAGGAAAAAGUGGAAAAGUUCAACACUGAGCAAUGCUAGACACUGAUGUUCCUGCACAAAGGGUGACAAAACCACAUUUUUUUAGAGUUAUUCGCAUCUAAUCCUUGGGCAAAAUUACUCUGUAUGACUCACUCAUUCCUUUGUUUUGUCACACUGAGUCCAAUGUCACAUGGGCUUUGAAGAAUAAACCUUCCAUAGAGGUUUGGUAAUAUAUAGAAGGGCCAAAGGGGUUGUAAAAGAAUAAAAGCACUUUAUAAAAAGGCACAGACUACAGAAAAUGUUUUAAAAUACUGUACAACCUCCAGAUCAUCAAAAAUAUUCUAAACAUUUCCUAAAGGCCAGUGUCUGUUUUCUCAGCCAGCAGAAGAGUUCGUGUGGGAUUUCAGCUGUACCAAAAAUAAAGUAAGAGUCCAGAGUGGCUCUGGAUCCAGCGUACAGAAUCAGUAUCUUUGGCAGAUGCAGAACUGAAACCUGAAAGUGGAAAUAUCUUCGAUCUGAGGUUCCUAUUUUGGCCAUCUGUACUUGUGAGAUUAACUGAACUGUUGUUGUGUUUUAGAGUUAAAGACAUUAGGAAGAUACUGGUUACAUUUCAUGUUUAAAAUCACAGCUAAUAUGAACCCAGUACUGGCCUUGAAACUACAGUGAAAAGUUGAAAAUGAGCAAAAGGAAAUGAUGAAACAUUCUUAUCUUCUCAAUUAUUUAUUCACUGUUUUUCCCCUUCAUUUUCACUCCUGGGAUAGUAAUGAGUUUUACGAAUGUAAGGUGUCAGCUAUAGGCUUUUCUGUUGAAACCUCUGAAUUUAUGGCUCCUCUGGGCAUUGCAGGCAUGGAUAAUGCAUAAUUUACAAACAGACUUGAAACUUUCAUCUUCCUUUUCCCACUCCUUUUCAGAGCUUUUCGUUUGUGAAGUGAUUUGUUUUGCUGUAGUGGAAACCAUAUGCUCUUCUGAAUCUCAGUGGAGUGUAGAAAUUCUGCAGCGUUACCAGAUGUUGCAGAAGAAACUUCACCUGACCCAGGAUUACAUGAAUGUGUCUCCUUCAGUCAAAAACAUCUUUCUAAGGGGGUAGCUUAUUUUUUUUUUCCUGUUAUUUGGUGGUAGGUGACAUCAAAUCACAGUCAGUGAUGAUGUAGGCACAGUCUCAGUAUUAGAUACACAAGGUCUGUGCUUUGUUUCUGGCGGGCCAGAGCUGGAAGCUUUAGUGAGACAUCCCUCAAGAACAUGGGUCAGUAGUUUGUAAAUGCUAGUCCUGCUUCUGGCAUUGACUCUACUUUGUCACUAAGGAAUAUUAGACUUAUUGUGUCAGACAAAGCACGUCUUGUUCAGACUUCGAUUGACCAUGGCCACACACUCACCCAUGACCAGGUGCUGCAGGGAAGACUGGAAGAACAGUUAAAAGAAAUUACUCUGGCUGAGCUGCUCUCUUCUAUUCAGUAGUUAGUGUACGACUUGAACUAAAAGGCUUUAGGCUCUCCCUAAUAACAUGCCUAUAAAGGAUAUUUAAUAAAACACUGGAUGCUCUUUUUAUUCUAAAUAUGCCUUUGGUCUUGUGUGAGUCUCCGUGACUGCUUUUUCUUGUGGCAGCAAAUUGGAAGGUGUAGGUGCUCAAGGGCAGGGGCUGAACUCUUCCCUUCACCUGAAAUGAAAGAGUUGAGAAGGCAACCUCAAACCCAGAGCUGCUGAGGGGAGACUGGUAUGGAUUGGACACAAAAAAUGGGCAGAAGGUCUCUGUUUCAUAGGUAUCUUUUGUCAACUCCUUAGCUGUGGGCUGUGGAUCCCCAGAUGUCUGCAGACUACAGCUAAAACCCAGGGAUUUGUCAGCAAAGCCUGCGGGAAGUGGAGUCAGCACCUUCACCUGCUGAAGUGAAGAGGUUUCCCCGGUGACUGAUGUUCAUUUCCACUGGUGUACAACUGAACAAGUUUUUGAUCCAAAGAGCAAGAGAACAUUUCACUACAACUAUGCUUGAACCUUUGACACUGGAAACUGAGGAAAUUAAAGCAGCUGCUACCAGUUUCUCCUGAGCAAGGAAGACGUAAAACCUGCAGAAACACAGACUGGUCUUUUCCCUUGUAUUGUUGUUUUCUAUAAAGGAAAAAAAAAGAAAAAAGAAAAAGCUAUUUUUGGAAGUGGGAGAAUAUCAGUGUUUGCAUUUCUGUCUAUAAUCCAGUGUGUGGCUGAUAAGAGGCUUGUGUGUUCCUAGCAAACUCUAUGACUUCAGAAGUCAGAGCUCGGUUGGAACGAGGCUGAUCUCUUUCACUGCCUUUGUCCUGUGCUGAGCUGUGCCCUGCCAGUGAAUUGCACAGUAUCUUAAAAUGACCUUUCAUUUAGGCUGUAUAGAGAUACUUUUAGUCAACUGGUAGGAGCAAGUGACCCCCGACCUCCUGAUUUUCACUGCCUGCAUGGAGUCAUUUUCUGCUGCUGAUGGGUGGUCCCAGUAGACAGUGGACACAGAUGUCGGCUCCUGAUAAAUCCAGAGUUUGGCUAAUGGGAGAAGACCUGUCACUCGCUUUGCUGGAGAGUGAAAUGUGAAAGCUGCACACAAGUUUCUGCUGGCUUUAAACUCCAUUGCUGGCCAUGAAGACUGAAACCACCUGACGAUGGUCCCAUGGGACUUGGACCUGUUCUACAAAUAUCACCCUGCUGAGGGGCUUCAGAAACAGCCUCCAGCACUCUUCGCUUGAUAACUGGGAUUUGGGAUCAGCUAUGGGGUGCAUGAUUUUCCUGUUCGCUCUGGUAACUGCUUUAUGUCUCUGGCUGAAAGCAAUCAUGACACCGUCCAUCUCACAGUGAGUCAGCCUAGUUUAUUCGUCAUUAAGAUUUUCCUGCACUGGAAACCUUCACUUGAGCACCCGUUCUUGAAGCAAGUUCUGCUUUUUUAGGUUGUAGCACCUUUCAGAGAGGUUAGCCAAACCUCUGUCAUCGCUGGCUGGGAUGGCUUAUUCAACUGCACCCAUCCCUCUUGCCCAUCUUCUUCUUGCUCACUUCCUUUCUUCUGGUGCCAGUAAUUUCUAUAAAUGACUGUAUGCUGCUCAGUGGCAAUAAAUAUUAAUAAAGGUAUAUCACUUUACUGCUGAAGUAGUGGGAGAAGAGGUGAGCAACGUAUAUUUUACUUCUUCAGAGGCUUGGCUCCCUUUGGCAUGCCUUUCCCUCCCAGAAGAUUUGCAAAAUUACACUCUGGUUUCCCUUCCCAGAUGAACUACAUCCUCACAUCUGUCUGGCUCUGCUCCAAGCUGCUCCAAGUCAGUAGGAGCUGGGAGAAAAGUUUAACAUGCAAAUUGAAAAUGUCAAAUUUUGGGUUUAUUUAUUGCUAGUUUUUGUAGAAAGAAGGAAGUAAAAAGACUUUCUGUCAGAAUAGUUCACUGUUAUUGUUUUGCUUUGAGUAAAUGAACUUCUGGGUUGCAGUAAAGGGAGUGCUGAGGUGACUAAGAGAGAUGAAAAGGGGAGUGCUAUGAGAACAAACUCAGUCAUGUUGGGAUAGUGUGGCAUCGAAAUGAUUGAACUUUUGGACACUAUAAGCUGAUGGAGAAGAGACAACUGCUGAAACAUGUGUGUUGCUACCUUGAAGCAGUUGGGGUAAGACUUGAGAAGCAAAGGUUUUGGAGUACCAUGAGAUACCAAAAUGAAAAAGCUAUUAAAGGCAAUAUCCUGAGGGGAAGACAGGAAGAGCCAAGUGCCGUAAUGCUUUGGAAGUACAGGAAACAGCUGAAAAGCCUCUCUCAGAAAGCAGAAUCAUUUCAUGAUUACGCAUUAUGUUAAAAUGGAGAACAUUUGCUUAUGCAAAUUAAACAUAGUCUUUGGCAGACACAGCUUCAAUGAAGGGAUAUUGGGCUGUCAUAUGUGUUAUGCUGAGACUAACAUGCAUUUUAAUGACAUGGAGAAAGAAUAUUUUACACAGAUAUUGUUUUGAUCUGGGCAAACCAGAAGAAGACCAGAAAUGCAUGGCUAAAGCUAAGCAACAAAUAAUUAAUUAGCAAUUCUAUGUCAGAAGGAAAACAUACCAGGAAGAGAAACUAAUCCAAUGAAGUGUUUGAGCAGCUCAUGAUGCUACUGGUAGUAUUUGUGCUCCUUUGGUGGAGCAAAGUAUUCAUAUAGAGGCUCCUAGCGAUGUGAAAGUCAUUCAUAUAUUCAUAUCACAUAUGAGCACCAGUGUGCAAAGAUUAGAGGAGGUAAUAAAAAGUUCCAGAGUUGAUGUACAGUGUUGGUCAAUGUGAAGCUAAAUUGUCCAUAUCUGCUACCACUGUAUGUAUUUGUUCAGUUAUCUUCCGGAUGUGUUGUAAACCUGGAGACAAGCAGUCUGAUAUACCAAUAAAGAAAAAAAUUGCCAGUUCCCACUUACAAUUGAGUGCCAACACUGAGGCAGAGAAUAAGGCCAUGGUCUUAGCUUGGUGUUGUGAAGAAGUUCAUGACCUUAUUUGUAGAAGCUGAAAUGUUAACUUAAAUUGACCGUAAAUCACUUACUUACCAAUUUGAGUUUGUCCAGCACUCUGACUAGAAGAGAGAGAUAUUUUUUAACUGUAGAGAUGUGAUUUGUGUAUCUAAUACAAUCUCAGUGGGGAGAUAUCAAUGGCAGGCACCUAAAUGGGACAUUUGAUAAAAACUGAGAGAAGUCCAAAGUAUGCAUCACUUGGAAAAAUAUCCCAUGAUUUUAACUGAAAUAUGGGUUACGAUAUCUGUGAUGAAAACUUGUAUAAAGUCAUUAGCACAAGAGCAGUGUUCUUUCAGCAUCCCUCACCCAUUCAGAGGAGCAACUCCUCAUAAUAAAGGGGAUUUUCUCAAAGACAGCAGAAGCAAAGUGAUUCAUAAGGAGUUGAAGAAAAAAUCUUGAAAAAGAUAGAUGAAAGUUACUUAGGGAUGGAAAAAGAGAUUUCCGGUGAAUAAUGAUACUGAGAAAGUUGCCAGGGCUUGUUGCAUAUGUCAAAAAUGCAGACCACACUGAGUAGAAAGGUUUAAUUUUGGUGUUCCAGGCAAAAAUCAGCACUUUGCUAUUGAUAGCUGCUUACAGAAACUGUGGCAACGGUUUAAAAAAAGUCAUAAAAUAAAGAUAGUUCUGAAAAAUUCAAAUAUGUUUGAACAAAAUUACUUAUCGAUUGAAAUUUCAAUAAGAUAUUUUAUUCCGUUUUUAGCGUCUUUUAUAUUUCGACAGGACUAUUGUUGCUGCCGUUAAAUAGGAUCCCUUACUUAAAGAGUAGCUCCUGAAAAGAUUCAGUGGGGCAAAGUCUACUGAGACCACUGCAUUUAACUAAAUCUGUAUUUGAAAUAUACAAGGAAGAGUACAAUUAUAUAUUUCUCUGAUCCUGAAGUCUUCACUCAUGGAAGUAGAAUAACUUAAAUCAAUGAGACUAUUCACAUGAAAAAGCAUUAAUCACAUGAGUAAUGAGAAAGGGUUGAAGGGUCAUUCUUAAAGUUGCUAUGAAAUGCUGCAGUUGCUUCACAUGGCCCAACUAUCAUUAUAUUUCCCCUGUUACUGCUUUUAAUGCAGUAAGAUAAAUUAAACUAGGGUGAUACUGACCCCAUGCUGGUUUGUGCUCUGUUCGAACCCCCUCUGAGUGAUGUCUUGAGGACUGAAGUGGGUGUAAGAGGAGUGCAGGCCAAAGUCUACAGCCAUCCCUCUACAUAUGGUACAUUUCACCCUCUGUUGUCAUCAGAUUUCCUUUCUCAAAAAAAUUGUCACAGUGCCCGACAGGGAGUUUCAAUUUCCCACCCACUCUUCACAAACCAGUUUGAGUAUAUCUGUUAUCUCACGCUAUGGCACACAGGGUGCAGAAAUAUUUAAAACUAUCUGUGACUAUCAGGACAGCUUGCGGUGUCAUCUUCAGUUCUUCCACAUAUGUCAAUAUUAAUUACUUCCUUUCCCAGUCCCUGCAAAUGUAAGUCCACAUCUUUCAAAACAGCAUCGGCCUUGAGGCCAAAUACUCUCCCAGCUGUUUUCUACCCUCUGCAUCUUCAGCCAGCAGGAUGUCAUUUCUACUGCCCAGGGACUGUCCCUACUUAUCCAUGAUGCAAUUGCCAGAAAUCUCCAAUAGCCUUGAAGCUGAAUGAUCCAGCAAACCAUUGCUUCUCUUCUGAAGGGACAGUUGUGUCCAUAACAAAACCAUCUGCUUUUCUUGUAUUGAGAAGCACGGCAUACUGAAUGGUUUGCAUUAAUGGUAUUUUUUUUUAUCAGCAUAGGAAAAUAUUUCCAAGACUUUAAUUUUUUUUGUUUUACUGUUACCUCUGAUAUAUGCUUUAUGCAUCUUUUUAAAAAAAUUUUAAUAGGUAUUAUUGUCUUUGCUCACACCAUAGGAAGAGCCAAAGAGAAGUGAGAAACUUUGGCUUUGGAGUUUCAUAUUUUCUUUUGAAGCAUGUGGCCACACCUGUAGACCCAGUACAUGCUGUUGUCCUGCAUCAAGUAGUUAAGUUCCAUGUACCUUCAUUCACAGUCUUUUUGGGCAAAUUUUUGCUCAAAAUUAUAUAUUCAGUUAAUAGAAUUUUGUGAGCUUGUACCUACAAAACAAAUAGGUUGUCAGCAGAAACAAGUUAUUAAGCAAAAUGAAAGACAGUAUGAUGGAGGAGAAGUGGUUCUCUAGUCCAGCUAAGCAAAAGGAGGCUAUGAGUAUGCAUACUUAUGAGAAAUUCAUUAAAAAAACAGACAUCAGAAAAGGCAUGACUGAAUCUAGAAUUAAAAAAACUAGUGAGAGCUUCCCUCAUCUGUCCUCCUGGCAGUGAUCCAGUGCAUGAAAAAGCACUGUCCUGCACAGCAUCAGCACUGCUUGAAAGCAAAACCCAGGCCACAGAGAGCGGAUUCAGACAUCAUUGCUUUCACAGUGAAAAGUGGGAAAAGGUCAGCUAUAGGAUCUUCACAUGAAAAACAAUUUUCUUAUACUUUUGGCUACAUUCAUUCAGCUAGGUGAACUGUCCAAAAGUGAACUAGUUAAUUCAGAAAAAAAGUAAGAUUAUUCCAAGUCUUGCAUGUUUUGUGCAUCCGGAUGGACUCUGGAGCCUUCAUCACUUCUGAGUUUGUCAGCAAAGAUAUUGACCAUCAUGAGAAGGAGACUGACACCCUCUCCAUGCCUUUCCUUUAUACCCUGGAUCAGGAAAACGCUUUAUAAAAUUUUUGGCUGCAGUUGGGUAUUCACACUAUACUCGUGUAAGCACAUGCUUGUAUAUUUCUCUAAUUAAGAACAUUUUCCUGAAGCAAGGUCUGGGAGCACAUAUGCCCUACCUUGGAUCAGAAAGGCCAGGUUGAGUGGAGCAAGUUAAAACUGUCAUUAUUUGUUGUUUUGAAAAAUUUUCAACAAAAAACGUGUUAUUAUGGCUUAGUUACCUCCCUCAGCAAGGAAAGGUGAGAUAUGAUUACCUAUGUGGCAAACAUAGGAGACCUGAGCUCAAAUACCUGGUUUGGUAUGUCCCUGCAUGAUUUUGGAGACAUCGGCAAGUGUGGACAUUCUAGAAAUCCCUGAACAAACUGUCACUGCACUAAUCUGGUGUGUGAGUUAGCUGGGGAAAUGCAGAACUUGGCGCAAUCUAAGAACCUGGGUAAAUUAGUUAGGCUUAUAACGUAUCUUUCUUCUACAGAGUGAUGAUGUUUACCCACCUGUUUGUUUUCUUGUCUUUUUACAAUAAAACAUUUUGUUUC
Long non-coding RNA from Numida meleagris (helmeted guineafowl), 9645 nucleotides. RefSeq lists it as uncharacterized. The transcript is spliced from 3 exons. NCBI's taxonomy places the organism in Eukaryota, Metazoa, Chordata, Aves, Galliformes, Numididae. The record is from RefSeq and is a predicted model, not a curated record.